Molecule: long non-coding RNA, 7341 nt
Organism: Felis catus (domestic cat)
Lineage: Eukaryota; Metazoa; Chordata; Mammalia; Carnivora; Felidae
Exons: 5
Source: RefSeq, a predicted model, not a curated record
UUGGCUAUUGUGAGUAAUGCUGCCGUGAACACGUAUAUACACUUUCAGUUCUUUGGGGGCACAUACCUACGAGUGGGAUUGUGGAAUCAUUUGGUAAUGCUGUUUAACUCCACACAUAACUUUCCAUUGCACCUGUCAGGAGUUGGGGAUUAGCAGAGGGUUGCUGGAGACAAAGUUCAGUGAGCUCAGAGUCCCAUCCACACAGAGGGGGCUGGGGUGGCUGCCUGGCCUCUAGCCGAGAGAGAAGGUAUUAAGGAGCCAUCAAGAAGCUUGUUAUAUGCUCUCUGGGGAUUGGGAAGGAGGUAGCUGCCGGCUUCGUAACAACAUAGCCAAGAGAGCUGGCUGUGCACAUUAGGCCUCCUCUCUAGAAUUUGCAGGCACAGAGCAUGGUGUGGGUGUCCACCGGAGCAGAGAUGGGCCUCUCGUCCAAGAGACGUGAGGUGUCCUUAGGUCCUGCACACCGGGGCUGCCCAGAGAAGGGCAGGAACAACAGCAGAAUGAAGCUGGGCUUCACUCCUGCGCGCAGAAGAGCUGCAGACGAGUUACGGGCAGCCAGCUGGAGCAGGGGUACAUCCUCUCGAGUCAAAGGAAGAUCCCAGGGAUGAGACGGCACCUGGGAUGACUGCAUACCCUUGAAGUGAAGAUAGGACUAUGACACUCGCUUUGGACAGCGAAACGUAUGGCCUGGACCCUCUGCACUGCUACCUGUCAAGUCUGGACCUGUUAACAAAGAUUCGGGGAAGAAUAGCGACCCUAAUUUCAUAGACUUUCUGUCUGGACUUACCCACAACCAUCCAGAUAUAAAUGUUGCCCUGUCCUGUUACCCACGCUAUGAGCCUCUGCUUAGACUGUGUUGUCCGAGUUCCACGCCUCUGCUCUGCUGUUCACAGACUACACUGCAGGUCCCUCUAUCGCGUGUGAAUUUAUGCACAGAUCUAGAUGUGUGCACUAAACACCAAGGAAAUUCACCGAAAGUCCUACGGUUCUCUGCUUCUGUUUUUACCAAAGAUUUCAACUACGUCUAUGGCUUUUGGACAAUGACUUUCGGAUCCCAGCAGGUUUUGCUGAUGACACCUGGGCUUAAUAGAAAUCACGUGAACUGGUCAGGAUCCUGUGCUCUCUGCUGCCCACUGUAGAUGAGGUCCCCAUCGAGAUACAGAAGGAGAACACGGCCCGGGUGCCCCGGAGGCCCAACCCCAAGAUAAUGGCUGGUUGGGGAAGGAGUCGUACGAGCCGGGCAAGAGCAUCCAAGAUUGAAAACGUGGUGAAGAGUUGACAGGAAGACUAUGAACUGCCCAUGUCAAGGUUCUGGAGGAGUACUCAGAAAAUCAGAAGAUGGUAAGUUAGGCUGGGGGGCUGACUUAGGCAAAAGACUGAAAACUGGUCAUCUGAGGGGCUGAAUCUGAUCCAGAUACACUGCUUGGCUCAUGCAAGAGCUUAAGAGCAAAUCUUUGCAUUGGCUGCCCACUAGCAGAUCCUUCCCACACUGGAGUAUCUGGGAACACUGGGCUCAUCCCUCACAGCACUGGGGAGAGCAGCUGUUUGGUACAGCCCCUUCCCUCUCUUACACACACGGAAGCCAUCGGUUGGACACUACCUUUCAUCCAGGCAGUUGGCAAAAGGCUCAAAGUAAAAGGGUGUUUGUGUUAUAUUCAUGGUAGAAGGGCAGCAGCCUGGAAAGGAUAAGCCACGCUCUUCCCCACUUAUUUUUCCUUUCUUAAUGUUUUAUUUACCUUUUGAGAGAGCACAAGUGGUGCACAAGUGGAGGCAGAGAGAGGGGGACCGAGGAUCCAAAGCAGGCUCUUCACUGGUAACAGUGAGCCUGAUGUGGGGCUCAAACUCAGGAACCACGAGAUCAUGGCCUGAGCCAGAGCUGGACGCUCCACCUACUGAGCCAUCCAGGUGCACUGCCCCCCCCCCCCCACUUCUAAUUAGAAACUCACCAGGGGAGUGAGCUGCAUCACACACAAAGGCAGGUAAAACAGGGCUGGCCAGUCGUCAUAACUUUCUACUGAGAAAGCUUUAUCAGCAGAAAAUACAGGGUCUCGUCUCAUUCAAUGGAUGUGACAGUCUAAUUGAUGCUCUCAGGAUUCUGGAUGUCCUCUGCCUCAACUAGCCAGAGACCAGCGUUCCUGCGUUGGUACAACUGCUGAAUUUACAAUAAAAUAAAUCCUGGGGCACCUGAGUGGCUCAGUAGGUCAAGCUUCCAUUCUCGAUUCUGGCUCAAGUCAUGAUCUCAUGGUUGAUGGGAUCAAGCCCCAAGUUGGGCUCUGUGCUGACAGUGCAGAGCCUGCUUGGGACUCUCUCAAUAAGAGACUUAUUAAAUAAGGGACUUAUAAAAAACUAAAUCCCCAAACUGGAAAAUAGACGAAUACUCAGAAGUGGUGCCAAGGCUCUGUGAUAGCAUUUAAAAAAUCCUGGGGCAUCUGCAUGGCUCAGUCCAUUAAAUGUCUGACGCUUGAUUUGGGCUCAGGUCACCAUCUCAUGGUUUAUGAGCUCAAGCCUGCUUGGAAUUCUCUUUCCUCUCAAAAUAAGAUGAACAAGAUGUAUUUUUUUAAUUUUAAAAAUUGCACUCAAAUCUUUAACUAAAACUUUACCACGUAAAGCAUUUAGAAUUUGCUUUCAUUAGAUGUGAAGGUGGUUUUGUUUUGCUUUGUUUAUGGUAUGGAAUCCUAGGUCGCCUUGAUUCCCAAAAGUGAGGCUUUGUUAUUUCCAAUUUCUGCACAUCCUUGUGAAUAAAUCCUCAGACACAUCUUAGGGCAAAAACCUUAAAGUGAAACUGAUGGGCCUAGCAAGAUCAUUUUCAUUUUAUAGAAGUAUAACCUACAUUCAAGGCAAAAAACUGGAAGAGGGAAACCAGUCCUAAUCUGUACAAGCCACCAUAAACAUCUCACUAGUGUACCUAAAUGCUUUUCUUUAUAAAACCUAUGCUGCGUGCACGGUAACACACCUGUAUACUCAGUAUAAUAUAUACAUACAGUGGACUUUUCCCCGUGAAAAAGUACACAAUCAUUUUUUAUGGCCUAAUAGCAGUCGCUGUAUGGAGGUAUCACUGGAACUAGUCCACUGGUCAAUAAGUAAAAGGCUUUGAUUUUUGCUUAAUGUAAACACUUGCAUCUUCCUAUGCAAAUAUCUACAUCCUGGGUCAAUCACCACCCCUGGAAGUAGAACUGCUAAGACAAAAAACAUACUUUUGAAGAGGCUUCAAGCCCAGCGCAGAGCCAAUGUGGGGCUUGGACUCAUAACUCUGAGAUCAAGACCUGAGCUGAGAUUAAGAGGUGGACACUUAACCAACUGAGCCACCCAGGCACCCCAAACAUGCUCCUUUUCAAAGCUCUAGACACACAUUCAUAUUGGGAGGUACUUCAGUACAUAUCAAUUUCAGUAUUUAUCAUGCUUUUUGCCACCUAGUCUGACUUCACUUGAUCAAAUCCAUCAGCCCUUCUCUACCCCAUUCAUUGAAAGUGCGAGCUUGAGCAUUAAACAGACUUCAGGUCUGUGACUGAAUUUUUCCAGGCCCAUUUCCUCAGUGGCAAGAGUAAAAACAGUUCUGUUCUUGAGAUUAUGAAAGCCAGGGCCAUCAAUGUGCUUAACAGCUCCAUUUCUGGAAAUAUGUUCAGUAUUUACUAGGAUUUUUGUUUGAAUGUCUUCUAGGUUAGGGGCGCCUGGGUGGCUCAGUCAGUUGAGCAUCCGGCUUCAGCUCAGGUCAUGAUCUCACGGUUCAUGGAUUCGACAACUGUGCCAACAACUCAGAGCCCGGAACCUGCCUCGGAUUCUGUGUCUCCUUCUCUCUCUGCCCCUCCCCCACUUGCACUCUCUCAAAAAUAAACAUUAGAAAACAAAUUUUAAUGGAGGUAGAAAUGCAACAUCUUAACUCCAAACUGUUAAUGAUUAAUACAUGUUUAAAUAGACUUGAUCCUAUUUUUUUUUUUGAACUGUCUAUUCUGUUCCAUGCGUAUACCUACCUACAUUACAAGACUACGUUGUUUUAAUAAGGGCAGCUAAUACACUGUAUUUUUACGGGGCUUUUCCUUUCUCAUUUCCCACAACUUCUCUCCCAAUUAGUGUUUGUUUUUUAAAAAUACUUUCCCAACUGUAUUUUUUCAGAAUGGCACACUGAGAUCUAAUCAGACCAACUUGGGAGUACUCCAUUUUAAUAACACUGAGUCACUAUCUAGGAACAUAGUACGCCCAUCUAUUAAUAUCUUUUAUGGACUUCAGUCAAGUUUUAGUUCAUAACUAGCAUUUGAUCUCUACUCUCUAAAAUUAGUAUUUCUUUCUACUACUUGCUCUAUGGACUAAUUUGCCUAUUCCUAGUGACUUGAAAGGUAUUCAUACUUAAAAAUUUAGUUACAUUUGAAGCCUUAAACAUUCUCGAUCCUAAGUUUAUCACGUUCCUCACUUAACUAGUCCACCCCCUAAUGACACCCCCAACUCCUAUUUUUUGUAAACAAUCUGGAAUUUAAGAAAAAUUACAUAAAGCAAAAUUCAGUUUUUACGGGGUGUUUAAGUUCUGGGAGUUCUGACAAAUGCAUAGUCAGGUAACACCAAAACCAAGAUACAGACCGGUUCCCUUGCUCACCUACAAUCUCCUCAACAGCUCCUUGAUACUCAAGUCCUCCCCUACCCCAAUCUGUUCUCCAUCCCUCUGGUUUUGCCCAAUCUCAGAUUUGUAUACGUCUUUAUCAGUAAGUGUAAUAAGACUACUUUUUCUCUUAUUAAAUUUAGUUUCAUUGGUUUUCAGCUUAGAAUUCCAUACAGCCAAAGUAACUUCAAACCUGCUUUUGUCAUUUCUACGAAGUCCUUCCUGGCUGUUCUCAUCAAAACGGCAACAUACGGCAGUUCUAAAAGGCUGCACAACCAUCGGGUCUAAAUUACUUUGUUUCUUGUUUUAAUUUACAAAAUAAGUAUCCUACCCUGUACAGAGUUGGGAGUAGAGUCCAGCAUUUCCAAAAGGGCUGGUACCCCUCAAAAUGAUUUUGAGGGCCACAUGGUGUGUCCACAGCUCCUGAUGGUCUGUUUGAAUCUAUUACACCUAAAAGCUAACUUCUUCCUGCCCAAGUGCUUACAGUCUUCUAUCUAUUAAAACUGUACGUUGCUUAUGCCAAAAAGACAGUACAAAGUACCCUAAGUCUGAAAUUCAGCAGGAAUUAUCUGCACAAAAAUUUAAACUAGUUCAGUCAUUAAUAAUUUCACCCAUUAAUGAUAGAAUCUAAUACGGAGAAAUGUGACCGAUGUACUUUUUAUCCCUUGUCUCGAUUUUACAAUCGAAAUGAGGGGAUGCUUUUACCUAGAGCUGCAGAGCAACUGGAGGAUCUACUCCUGUGACUUGGAAAUUCCCCGAGGAAAAACUGGCUGAUUGUUUAAUGAACUGCUUUUUGACAGAACUGGCAAGGAGGGUAAUUCAGAAUGGCGAGGUGAGUAGGCGCUGACAGCAGUUAUUAUGUGUAUGUGACCAACGGGUUCUUACUCCCUAACAGAUCGAGGCUAUUUAGAUGGUAACGGUAAUAGUACCACAAAAGUAGUCAAAGAAAAAUCCCGUACGGUGCUCAGUCUUUAGAAUAUGGAGGCAAAGUGAAAAGUCCCCAACUUGUGAGAGGUCACUCCAAGGUCUAGAAACGUUCAGGGUGUGUAUUCUAACCAGACAGAAGGAGGAGUUCUCUCACAUAGAGUCCGUGACUGCUUUGCACAUCUCCUUCCCCGAGGUUUUGGACUCAGGCAGGGAGAGCACCUGUCCUCGGUCCAGUAAGGUGCAAGAGUCCACCCUGGCAGGCUCUGCUUCAACUGACCUAGCCCUCCUCUUGUGCUGUAGCCCCAUCACCUGCUCUAUGCAGGCAACUGUCAUCAGAGCUCUCAUGAGGAUUAAGUGACCUAACUCGGGCAGAGCACCUAGCAGGUUCUUCCUCUAACAUAAAAACUUUAGAGAGUCGCUUGCUAUCUGAUAGGGCCAUAGUACCAGUCAGAAAUUUCUCUAGUCCCCUCCAGGUGCCAUUUUCACAUGCCUACAGUGAUCGUAUAAAAAAAAUAAGUCUGUAAAUUAGGUUUAGAUCGGGAGCUAGAAUUUUUUUCCCAAGCACAUGCUAUCUACUGUCAUUUUCUUAAAACUCUGCGACACAUCAGAACAGUAACGUCAUCAUUUAAUAAAUGCAUUCUACACCCACUACGCUUUACCACAGCCAAGUAAAUAAGGGUCUCUCAUCCCAAGAAACUUAUAGGCACUAAUGGUAAGGGACAGACAAAAGAAUACACCACCAGCUAAGACUGACCGAACGUGUGCCAGGCACUGUUCUCGGCACCUUCUACGUAUUAUGUCAUGGAAUCCUGACAGCUACUACUUUAUGAUGUUGGAUAAGCACUGCCAUUUUACAGAGGCUCAAACAGGCACAGCUGAUAAAGGAUGGAGCUGGAAAAUAAGGCAGGCCACCUAAAUAUGGGGUCCUCCCCAAUCCACUACCAUAAACGCAAGGGGAAAGGAGGGGCAGAGGACAUCAUGGAGACACAGAGGAAAGGGAACUAACUUAGUCCAGGUAUAAAAGGGGGUAAGUGGAGAAAGGUUCCUGGAGAAGAUGUGAAGCAUAUGACUAGGAGUUUGUUAGGUAUGAAAGGGAAGGAUGAGCCAGGUAGAUAGAGAGGACCUCACCAGUAAAGGUAUGAGUGUAGAAUGAGAAAAGGUGCUUAGAAAAAGCGAUUUGGUGUCGACAGGUGCUUACAGGUUUGGAAAGUACUGCCACAUACUUGUUUUUAUAAACCUUUCAGGAUCUUUACUAAACAUUCCAGGUUUGCUCAAUGAAAAAGCCACACUUGGAGGUUGAUGGGGCAGGUGUCAAGAUCCGGGCACAGAGAAGAACCAGAGCUGAAGGGAGAAGAGAGGCUGGCCUAAAGGAGAAGUCCUGCAGCCGGGCCUGGAACCCGCGUGAGCACCCUUACUGCCGUAUCAUACCCUACACCCUCCCGCCCCACUGGGGCUAAGGGGAAAAUGUGCAUGUAUCUGUAAAGAACUCCCAGGUGCUGUUCUUGAACACGAACAGGCACACUCCUAGUUCAGUGGGCCGGUUACGAGGCAAGUCAUGUGCCAGGAACUCGAUCUGCACCCACCCUACACCAGAGCCUCCUCUACAGUACAGCAUCUUAAAUCCUGACUCUGCCACUAACUGUAACUCCAUGGAUCACUCCUCUGUGUUUAUCCUCAUCUGUAAAAUGGGGACGGAUAGCAGAAAGGCAUCUGGAACAGACCUGGGCUGAACAAGUAUUUGUAAUGCUAAUGUAACGCUAACACAGAAUGCUAAACAAGUAUUUGUAAAGUUAAUUUCCCCUAAAUUACACUUGGCUCUCUAUCAAGCA